UUGAACUCUUUUUACAACUCUAUAAGUACUUAAAACUAUUUAAUUAAUGUGAGAAGAACAUGAGCUUUAUAAAUUGAAAAGUGAUAAAAUAAAAUUCUAUCUAAUACAUGCAAAGAGUGAAAAAUAUGAACAAAAUUUUCAAGUUUGUUUAUGUUAUGCUAAUCCUUCAUUCCCUAUUUCUUGUUUCAACACAACAACCAUUUAUAGUUCUCAUUCCAUGUAAAACUGAUCGUGAUUGUCCAACAUCUCCCAAGAAAUUGAACAUGUCACGUCCUAAAAAACUGAGGUGUCGUGAUGGUUUAUGUGUAUGACGAUAAUUAUAAAGCUCUAUCGAUUAUAUGAUUGGCAGACCCAAAAGAAUUUAAAAAAAAAAAAAUCACACUACUAGAAUAUUCCACAAUUUCUUAUUUAGUUAUUGUGAUCACCUAUUAAAUGAAUUUUCUUUUACCUGUUUUAAUUUCAUAUACUUUGUUAGUUUUGUACUUAAGAUGAUGCAAGUGAAAUGACAUAAACCAUGAAAAAUAUUAUCUAUA
Molecule: long non-coding RNA, 533 nt
Organism: Trifolium pratense (red clover)
Lineage: Eukaryota; Viridiplantae; Streptophyta; Magnoliopsida; Fabales; Fabaceae
Exons: 2
Source: RefSeq, a predicted model, not a curated record